Molecule: ribosomal RNA, 453 nt
Filed under: uncultured eukaryote
Lineage: Eukaryota
Description: SSU rRNA
Rfam family: Eukaryotic small subunit ribosomal RNA
Source: RNAcentral
UAGUCAUAUGCUUGUCUCAAAGAUUAAGCCAUGCAUGUCUAAGUAUAAGCAUUAUACAGUGAAACUGCGAAUGGCUCAUUAAAUCAGUUAUAGUUUAUUUGAAGAUAAUACCAUUAGGAUAACCGUGGUAAUUCUAGAGCUAAUACUUGCUUUGGGCUUUAUUAGAUAUGAAUCACAAUAACUUCAGAUCGUCUUUGACGCUUCAUUCAAAUUUCUGCCCUAUCAGCUAGAUGGCACGGUAGUGGCGUACCAUGGCAGUAACGGGUAACGGGGAAUUAGGGUUCGAUUCCGGAGAGGGAGCCUGAGAAACGGCUACCACAUCCAAGGAAGGCAGCAGGCGCGCAAAUUACCCAAUCCCGACACGGGGAGGUAGUGACAAUAAAUAACGAUGCGGGGCCAUUUGGUCUUGCAAUUGGAAUGAGAACACGAUAAAGAGGUUAACGAGGAGCAAGA